GUGUUAUAUGAAAGGAGAGAAGGUUAGCACUCCUCUUGACAAGGAUGGAAAAGACCCUCAGGCCUGACAAUACGCAUAUGGUUAAGGCAUUGCCACCUACUUCGUGGCAUCUAACCACUGUUUUUA
Molecule: small nuclear RNA, 126 nt
Organism: Octodon degus (degu)
Lineage: Eukaryota; Metazoa; Chordata; Mammalia; Rodentia; Octodontidae
Source: Ensembl